RNAcentral lists this unclassified non-coding RNA (22 nucleotides) under synthetic construct. The record is from RNAcentral.
GGCAACGGUUCGAUCCCGUUGC